CAUUUAAGUUUAAUGGAGAAAGUCAGAAACAUGGCCCUGGAUGAUGUCGUGAUCCUGAAUGUGGACACCAACACCCUGGAAACCCCCUUCGAUGACCUCCAGAGCCUCCCAAACGACGUGAUCUCUUCCCUGAAGAACAGGCUGAAAAAGGUCUCCACAACCACUGGGGAUGGUGUGGCCAGAGCGUUCCUCAAGGCCCAGGCCGCUUUCUUCGGUAGCUACCGAAACGCUCUGAAAAUCGAGCCGGAGGAGCCGAUCACUUUCUGUGAGGAAGCCUUCGUGUCCCACUACCGCUCCGGAGCCAUGAGGCAGUUCCUGCAGAACGCCACACAGCUGCAGCUCUUCAAGCAGUUUAUUGAUGGUCGAUUAGAUCUUCUCAAUUCCGGCGAAGGUUUCAGUGAUGUUUUUGAAGAGGAAAUCAACAUGGGCGAGUACGCUGGAUUCCUGUUGAGAUUAAAUCAGAGUACAUGAGGAAAGGUUUGUGCAGUCAUCCAGGACAGUUCCUGGCAUGGGGACUGUGUGCAGCAGUGACAAACUGUACCAUCAGUGGCUCUCCACUGUCCGGAAAGGAAGUGGAGCAAUUCUGAAUACUGUAAAGACCAAAGCAAAUCCGGCCAUGAAGACUGUCUACAAGUUCGCAAAAGAUCAUGCAAAAAUGGGAAUAAAAGAGGUGAAAAACCGCUUGAAGCAAAAGGACAUUGCCGAGAAUGGCUGCGCCCCCACCCCAGAAGAGCAGCUGCCAAAGACUGCACCGUCCCCACUGGUGGAGGCCAAGGACCCCAAGCUCCGAGAAGACCGGCGGCCAAUCACAGUCCACUUUGGACAGGUGCGCCCACCUCGUC
RNAcentral lists this small RNA (842 nucleotides) under Pan troglodytes (chimpanzee). RNAcentral's name for it is "processed transcript". The record is from RNAcentral. Lineage: Eukaryota; Metazoa; Chordata; Mammalia; Primates; Hominidae.